RNAcentral lists this ribosomal RNA (253 nucleotides) under uncultured bacterium. Its description in RNAcentral is "partial 16S ribosomal RNA". It matches the Rfam family "Bacterial small subunit ribosomal RNA", at positions 524 to 776 of the family's 1533-position model. The record is from RNAcentral.
UACGGGGGGGGCAAGCGUUAUUCGGAAUUACUGGGCGUAAAGGGCGCGUAGGCGGUUGAAUAAGUCAGAUGUGAAAGCCCUUGGCUUAACCAAGGAAGUGCAUUUGAUACUAUUUGACUUGAGUAUGGGAGAGGGAAGUGGAAUUCCAGGUGUAGAGGUGAAAUUCGUAGAUAUCAGGAGGAACACCGGUGGCGAAAGCGACUUCCUGGACCAAUACUGACGCUGAGGCGAGAAGGCGUGGGGAGCAAACAGG